This 274-nucleotide ribosomal RNA is filed under the name uncultured bacterium. RNAcentral describes it as "partial 16S ribosomal RNA". It matches the Rfam family "Bacterial small subunit ribosomal RNA", at positions 523 to 796 of the family's 1533-position model. The record is from RNAcentral.
AUACGGAGGGUGCGAGCGUUAAUCGGAAUUACUGGGCGUAAAGCGUACGUAGGCGGUUGGUUAAGUUAGAUGUGAAAGCCCCGGGCUUAACCUGGGAACUGCAUUUAAAACUGGCGGACUAGAGUUGAGUAGAGGGGAGUGGAAUUUCAGGUGUAGCGGUGAAAUGCGUAGAGAUCUGAAGGAACACCAGUGGCGAAGGCGACUCCCUGGACUCGAACUGACGCUGAGGUACGAAAGCGUGGGUAGCAAACGGGAUUAGAAACCCCAGUAGUCC